RNAcentral lists this transfer RNA (70 nucleotides) under Sphaerodactylus townsendi. RNAcentral describes it as "tRNA-Val". It matches the Rfam family "tRNA". From Rfam's summary of the family: Transfer RNA (tRNA) molecules are approximately 80 nucleotides in length. Their secondary structure includes four short double-helical elements and three loops (D, anti-codon, and T loops). Lineage: Eukaryota; Metazoa; Chordata; Lepidosauria; Squamata; Sphaerodactylidae. The record is from RNAcentral.
GGAUGUAGCUCAGUGGUAGAGAAUCUGCUUGACAUGCAGAAUGAACCAGGCUCAGUCCCUGGAAUAUCUA